ACUCGAGAAGAAUCUUUACAAACAACGUCGUAGCAUAUGUAUCAUGUUACUUAACACAUUGCACCCAACAGUGUAUUAAUUGAACACUUCCAUCAGACAUUUUCACCGAGGGCAGGUGUGUUCAAAUAUACAUUCUAGCUGAGAGAAUUAUUGCCUUUGGAGGUCUCCUUGGACUCAGCACUAGUCCCUGUUUGCAAGCAAAACAACUGGUUUCUCACUGUUUAUACUGAGGUGUAUACUACAUGAAUACAGAACGCAAUAUGAGACUAAAGACGUCUAUAGCAAUGUUAUGUUUGUUUUUAUUCGCCUCAAUUAUUUCUCUCCGAGAAGUUACCGGGCAAGG
Non-coding RNA from Paramuricea clavata, 343 nucleotides. Lineage: Eukaryota; Metazoa; Cnidaria; Anthozoa; Malacalcyonacea; Plexauridae. The record is from the annotation of a GenBank genome assembly.